AGUAAUGUCUGGGAAACUGCCUGAUGAGGGGGAGUAACUACUGGAAACGGUAGCUAAUACCGCAUAACGUCGCAAGACCAAAGUGGGGGACCGUUCGGGCCUCAUGCCAUCAGAUGUGCCCAGAUGGGAUUAGCUAGUAGGUGGGGUAACGGCUCACCUAGGCGACGAUCCCUAGCUGGUCUGAGAGGAUGACCAGCCACACUGGAACUGAGACACGGUCCAG
This 223-nucleotide ribosomal RNA is filed under the name uncultured bacterium. Its description in RNAcentral is "partial 16S ribosomal RNA". It matches the Rfam family "Bacterial small subunit ribosomal RNA", at positions 109 to 334 of the family's 1533-position model. The record is from RNAcentral.